AACGAACGCUGGCGGCAUGCCUAACACAUGCAAGUCGAACGAGACCUUCGGGUCUAGUGGCGCACGGGUGCGUAACGCGUGGGAACCUGCCCUUGGGUUCGGAAUAACUCCCCGAAAGGGGUGCUAAUACCGGAUAAUGUCUUCGGACCAAAGAUUUAUCGCCUUUGGAUGGGCCCGCGUUGGAUUAGCUAGUUGGUAGGGUAAAAGCCUACCAAGGCGACGAUCCAUAGCUGGUCUGAGAGGAUGAUCAGCCACACUGGGACUGAGACACGGCCCAGACUCCUACGGGAGGCAGCAGUGGGGAAUAUUGGACAAUGGGCGAAAGCCUGAUCCAGCAAUGCCGCGUGAGUGAUGAAGGCCUUAGGGUUGUAAAGCUCUUUUACCCGGGAUGAUAAUGACAGUACCGGGAGAAUAAGCUCCGGCUAACUCCGU
RNAcentral lists this ribosomal RNA (432 nucleotides) under uncultured bacterium. Its description in RNAcentral is "partial 16S ribosomal RNA". It matches the Rfam family "Bacterial small subunit ribosomal RNA", at positions 29 to 506 of the family's 1533-position model. The record is from RNAcentral.